This 377-nucleotide ribosomal RNA is filed under the name uncultured bacterium. RNAcentral describes it as "bacterial SSU rRNA". It matches the Rfam family "Bacterial small subunit ribosomal RNA", at positions 521 to 896 of the family's 1533-position model. The record is from RNAcentral.
UAAUACGUAGGGUGCGAGCGUUAAUCGGAAUUACUGGGCGUAAAGCGUGCGCAGGCGGUUGUGUAAGACAGGUGUGAAAUCCCCGGGCUUAACCUGGGAACUGCGCUUGUGACUGCACGGCUAGAGUACGGCAGAGGGGGGUGGAAUUCCACGUGUAGCAGUGAAAUGCGUAGAGAUGUGGAGGAACACCGAUGGCGAAGGCAGCCCCCUGGGCCGAUACUGACGCUCAUGCACGAAAGCGUGGGGAGCAAACAGGAUUAGAUACCCUGGUAGUCCACGCCCUAAACGAUGUCGACUAGUCGUUCGCGAAGGUAACUUUGUGGGUGACGCAGCUAACGCGUGAAGUCGACCGCCUGGGGAGUACGGUCGCAAGAUUA